UGCAAGUCGAACGAUGAUCUCCAGCUUGCUGGGGGGAUUAGUGGCGAACGGGUGAGUAACACGUGAGUAACCUGCCCUUGACUCUGGGAUAAGCGUUGGAAACGACGUCUAAUACCGGAUAUGACGACCGAUGGCAUCAUCUGGUUGUGGAAAGAAUUUUGGUCAAGGAUGGACUCGCGGCCUAUCAGGUAGUUGGUGAGGUAAUGGCUCACCAAGCCUACGACGGGUAGCCGGCCUGAGAGGGUGACCGGCCACACUGGGACUGAGACACGGCCCAGACUCCUACGGGAGGCAGCAGUGGGGAAUAUUGCACAAUGGGCGAAAGCCUGAUGCAGCAACGCCGCGUGAGGGACGACGGCCUUCGGGUUGUAAACCUCUUUUAGUAGGGAAGAAGCGAAGUGUUUUACAUGGAGUGACGGUACCUGCAGAAAAAGCACCGGCUAACUACGUGCCAGCAGCCGCGGUAAUACGUAGGGUGCAAGCGUUGUCCGGAAUUAUUGGGCGUAAAGAGCUCGUAGGCGGUUUGUCGCGUCUGCUGUGAAAACUGGAGGCUCAACCUCCAGCCUGCAGUGGGUACGGGCAGACUAGAGUGCGGUAGGGGAGAUUGGAAUUCCUGGUGUAGCGGUGGAAUGCGCAGAUAUCAGGAGGAACACCGAUGGCGAAGGCAGAUCUCUGGGCCGUAACUGACGCUGAGGAGCGAAAGCAUGGGGAGCGAACAGGAUUAGAUACCCUGGUAGUCCAUGCCGUAAACGUUGGGAACUAGAUGUAGGGGCCAUUCCACGGUUUCUGUGUCGCAGCUAACGCAUUAAGUUCCCCGCCUGGGGAGUACGGCCGCAAGGCUAAAACUCAAAGGAAUUGACGGGGGCCCGCACAAGCGGCGGAGCAUGCGGAUUAAUUCGAUGCAACGCGAAGAACCUUACCAAGACUUGACAUAUACGAGAACGGGCCAGAAAUGGUCAACUCUUUGGACACUCGUAAACAGGUGGUGCAUGGUUGUCGUCAGCUCGUGUCGUGAGAUGUUGGGUUAAGUCCCGCAACGAGCGCAACCCUCGUUCUAUGUUGCCAGCACGUUAUGGUGGGAACUCAUAGGAGACUGCCGGGGUCAACUCGGAGGAAGGUGGGGAUGACGUCAAAUCAUCAUGCCCCUUAUGUCUUGGGCUUCACGCAUGCUACAAUGGCCGGUACAAAGGGCUGCAAUACCGUAAGGUGGAGCGAAUCCCAAAAAGCCGGUCUCAGUUCGGAUUGAGGUCUGCAACUCGACCUCAUGAAGUCGGAGUCGCUAGUAAUCGCAGAUCAGCAACGCUGCGGUGAAUACGUUCCCGGGCCUUGUACACACCGCCCGUCAAGUCAUGAAAGUCGGUAACACCCAACGCCAGUGGCCUAACCCGUGAGGGAGGGA
This 1399-nucleotide ribosomal RNA is filed under the name Agreia sp. RNAcentral's name for it is "bacterial SSU rRNA". It matches the Rfam family "Bacterial small subunit ribosomal RNA". The record is from RNAcentral. Lineage: Bacteria; Bacillati; Actinomycetota; Actinomycetes; Micrococcales; Microbacteriaceae.